RNAcentral lists this long non-coding RNA (1371 nucleotides) under Monodelphis domestica (gray short-tailed opossum). RNAcentral's name for it is "lncRNA (ENSMODG00000033122.2)". The record is from RNAcentral. Lineage: Eukaryota; Metazoa; Chordata; Mammalia; Didelphimorphia; Didelphidae.
CUCUGUUCAAUCCUCCAACUGUUUCAAAUCCAUUUGGGAUUCAUGACAGAUACUAGUUUGCCAUUUCCUUCUGUAAUGAAGAAGGUAUUGAAACAGGAUUGAAGAAGGUACAGCGGGUACUGGAAGGACUUGUAACCGGGAAUGGAAGAAUUGAAGGGACCGAGGGAAUAUGGUUGCUGGUGAGGUAAAAGGAGAGAGGUAACCCCUGCUGAGAGACUGUCUUUGUAUAUAUUCCUCACACUCAACCCACAGGAGAGGUACCCUUGGAUAAGGUUAGGUUAAGGAUGACAGGAUCAGAGUUUAAAGUGACUUCUGGGGAAUAGUGCCUUUUACUACUCAAGGCUUGACUAGUAGUUGAACCCCAGGGGUUUCCCUUGUCAUCCAGGCAGACUGUCCCUAUUGACUUCCACUGUUUAGCCUAGGCUAAUGAUUAACUUAGCCAAAAACCACUCUCUUUUUUCUCCCUUCAAUGUGUAUUUGACUGUAAUUUUUCUAUUUCUCAAGUAGUUUAAUAAUUAGUGUAAAUCAAGAAAGGGGAUAGGUAAGUGGGAAUCAGAGACCCUUGCUGCUUCUUCAGCUGAGCCAAGAUGGCUCAGCUUCAGCCUUCUUUGUCUUCUACCUAGCUAGUCACUAUCUCUAUCUUACUAAACAAAAGGCAAGUGUCUUUCUUGCAAAGGUCAAGGGAUGGAAAGGAUCUUCAGGGUGAUGCCCUGAAGUAAAGGGAUUAACCCCUUUCAGCAGCUCACUUUGUCUUGUUCUUCCUUUAAUGGAUGCUCUCAUACAUACAUGAACCUUCUUUUUCUUUUGGGUAGGGGAAAUGGAGACCAGGUAGUCCACAGGUUGGGAUAUAGAGCUCCAGGUCUUCGCUCCACACUCAGCCGUGUUCAGAAGGCAAAGACCCUUCUUCCAUCAGCAGUUUUUCCCACAAUCCUCUUCUCUCACUCCAACUGCCUGAUCACAUUCCAACUGGAUUUACAGUUUUCCUUUCCACACUUCUCUAGCUCAUUUGACAGGUUAAAUUAUCAACAGAUGGUUUGGAGAAAUGUUUGCUCAUUACCUGAAAAAUUCUACUGCAGGAUAAAUGGAGGAUUUCAUCCACAUUUUGUUUGUAUUCACUAGCCUAUACAAGUACUAUAUAUUUUCAUAUCUGUUAUUUUUUUAUAGAUUAACUUCUUCAUAAACUAGUACAAAUAUUUUGGAUGAAUCAACUAAGAAGAUUUCCUAUUUGAUGUUCAUUAAAGAAUCCCAUUCACCUUUAGUCUUCCCAGGGAGUCCACUUCUCUAUAACAGUGGAAUUUUCUCUGAAGGAACAUUCUAAAAGUAAACAAGGAUAAUAAUAAAAGUGCCCUUUUCUGGAGGUUGUCUAUUUGA